Molecule: non-coding RNA, 120 nt
Organism: Fusarium poae
Lineage: Eukaryota; Fungi; Ascomycota; Sordariomycetes; Hypocreales; Nectriaceae
Source: Rfam
ACAUACGACCAAAGCUCGAAGAGAAUACGGGAUCCCGUCCGCUCUCCCAUAGUCAAGCUUCGAAGCGCCGGAUUAGUAGUUGGGUCGGUGACGACCAGCGAAUCCCCGGUGUUGUAUGUC